RNAcentral lists this ribosomal RNA (637 nucleotides) under uncultured bacterium. RNAcentral describes it as "bacterial SSU rRNA". It matches the Rfam family "Bacterial small subunit ribosomal RNA", at positions 64 to 687 of the family's 1533-position model. The record is from RNAcentral.
GAGGGGCAGCGGUGGUGAAGGCUUGCCUUUACCAGCCGGCGACCGGCGCACGGGUGAGUAACACGUAUGCAACCUGCCUGCCACAGCCGGAUAAUCGGGAGAAAUUCCGUCUAAUACGGCAUAAUGCAUCGACGGGACAUCCUGUUGGUGCCAAAGGUUGAUUCCGGUGGCGGAUGGGCAUGCGUCGCAUUAGUUAGUUGGCGGUGUAACGGACCACCAAGACGACGAUGCGUAGGGGUUCUGAGAGGAAGGUCCCCCACACUAGUACUGAGACACGGACCAGACUCCUACGGGAGGCAGCAGUGAGGAAUAUUGGUCAAUGGGCGGGAGCCUGAACCAGCCAAGUCGCGUGAGGGAUGACGGCCCUAUGGGUUGUAAACCUCUUUUGCCGGGGAGCAAAGUGCCGCACGUGUGCGGUUUGGAGAGUACCCGGAGAAAAAGCAUCGGCUAACUCCGUGCCAGCAGCCGCGGUAAUACGGAGGAUGCGAGCGUUAUCCGGAUUUAUUGGGUUUAAAGGGUGCGUAGGCGGACGCUUAAGUCAGCGGUAAAAUUGCGGGGCUCAACCUCGUCGAGCCGUUGAAACUGGGUGCCUUGAGUGGGCGAGAAGUACGCGGAAUGCGUGGUGUAGCGGUGAAAU